RNAcentral lists this transfer RNA (76 nucleotides) under Pseudoalteromonas sp. S185. Its description in RNAcentral is "tRNA-Val". It matches the Rfam family "tRNA". From Rfam's summary of the family: Transfer RNA (tRNA) molecules are approximately 80 nucleotides in length. Lineage: Bacteria; Pseudomonadati; Pseudomonadota; Gammaproteobacteria; Alteromonadales; Pseudoalteromonadaceae. The record is from RNAcentral.
GUGGGAUUAGCUCAGUUGGGAGAGCAUCGCCCUUACAAGGCGAGGGUCACUGGUUCAAGUCCAGUAUCACCCACCA